RNAcentral lists this ribosomal RNA (692 nucleotides) under Staphylococcus sp. HFH0026. RNAcentral describes it as "bacterial SSU rRNA". It matches the Rfam family "Bacterial small subunit ribosomal RNA", at positions 75 to 752 of the family's 1533-position model. The record is from RNAcentral. Lineage: Bacteria; Bacillati; Bacillota; Bacilli; Caryophanales; Staphylococcaceae.
GGAGCUUGCUCCUUUGAAGUUAGCGGCGGACGGGUGAGUAACACGUGGGUAACCUACCUAUAAGACUGGCAUAACUCCGGGAAACCGGGGCUAAUGCCGGAUAACAUGUUGAACCGCAUGGUUCAACAGUGAAAGACGGUCUUGCUGUCACUUAUAGAUGGACCCGCGCCGUAUUAGCUAGUUGGUGGGGUAACGGCCUACCAAGGCGACGAUACGUAGCCGACCUGAGAGGGUGAUCGGCCACACUGGAACUGAGACACGGUCCAGACUCCUACGGGAGGCAGCAGUAGGGAAUCUUCCGCAAUGGGCGAAAGCCUGACGGAGCAACGCCGCGUGAGUGAUGAAGGUCUUCGGAUCGUAAAGCUCUGUUGUUAGGGAAGAACAAAUGUGUAAGUAACUGUGCACGUCUUGACGGUACCUAACCAGAAAGCCACGGCUAACUACGUGCCAGCAGCCGCGGUAAUACGUAGGUGGCAAGCGUUAUCCGGAAUUAUUGGGCGUAAAGCGCGCGUAGGCGGUUUUUUAAGUCUGAUGUGAAAGCCCACGGCUCAACCGUGGAGGGUCAUUGGAAACUGGAAAACUUGAGUGCAGAAGAGGAAAGUGGAAUUCCAUGUGUAGCGGUGAAAUGCGCAGAGAUAUGGAGGAACACCAGUGGCGAAGGCGGCUUUCUGGUCUGCAACUGACGCUGAUGU